GAGCAAAUGAAAGUGCAAGUAACCCCAACUCGAAGCCUAAAGAUAAGUGGAGAACGUCCCCUCACUGACAGCAACAAAUGGAGCCGUUUCCGCAAGGAGAUUCCUAUUGAUUCAAAUUAUGAUCAUAAUGAAAUCGGUGCCAAGUUUGAAAAAGGUUUACUUUUUAUCAGACACCCUAAAAUAAUUGUUCCUGAUAAUAAUGAGCCGCAGGAGAUGAUAAAACCAUCAAUGGAACCUCCAAAACCACCACCUACAGAGGCCCCAAAGCCUCCAAAGCCACCGCAGGAAAAGGCACAGCCACCUGCAGAACCUCCAAAGCUAAAAAAGCAGCCCUCUAACGUACAAAAGCCUAAAAAACAAACAGCACCUGCAGAAACAUCUAAGCCGGAGACGAAAAUAGAACCUUCAAAGCCUGAAAAGCCCAUAAAUACUGAACCUCAGGCUGCAGGUACUCCAAAUAUUGGCAUGGAUAAACAAAGUAGUGGUAAAGCUGAUGGGGUAGGAAAUGGGAAUAGCGUUUCGCAGCAGAUGAUUGAGAAGGAGAAAGUUACAAGCAAACACGAGCAGAAAGAUAAGAGCAAUGGGAUUGCUGAUGCAGGAAGGGAUAUGACAACAACUAGCACAAGCACAAAACAAGAAAAGCUUGCCGAUUAUGUUCAGGAUAAGACAGAUAAAAA
RNAcentral lists this unclassified non-coding RNA (677 nucleotides) under Hevea brasiliensis (rubber tree). The record is from RNAcentral. Lineage: Eukaryota; Viridiplantae; Streptophyta; Magnoliopsida; Malpighiales; Euphorbiaceae.